GACGAACGCUGGCGGCGUGCUUAACACAUGCAAGUCGAACGGAAGGGCCCUGCUUUUGUGGGGUGCUCGAGUGGCGAACGGGUGAGUAACACGUGAGUAACCUGCCCUUGACUUUGGGAUAACUUCAGGAAACUGGGGCUAAUACCGGAUAGGAGCUCCUGCUGCAUGGUGGGGGUUGGAAAGUUUCGGCGGUUGGGGAUGGACUCGCGGCUUAUCAGCUUGUUGGUGGGGUAGUGGCUUACCAAGGCUUUGACGGGUAGCCGGCCUGAGAGGGUGACCGGCACCAUUGGGACUGAGAUACGGCCCAGCAUCCUACGGGAGGAAGCAGUGGGAAAUUUUGAACAAUGGGGGGAAGCCUGAUGCGGAACCGCGGCGUGCGGGAUAACGGCCUUCGGGUUGUAAACCGCUUUCGCCUGUGACGAAGCGUGAGUGACGGUAAUGGGUAAGAAAGCACCGGCUAACUACGUG
This 468-nucleotide ribosomal RNA is filed under the name uncultured bacterium. RNAcentral describes it as "partial 16S ribosomal RNA". It matches the Rfam family "Bacterial small subunit ribosomal RNA", at positions 28 to 507 of the family's 1533-position model. The record is from RNAcentral.